GUGCCAGCCGCCGCGGUAAUACGUAUGGUGCAAGCGUUAUCCGGAUUUACUGGGUGUAAAGGGAGCGCAGGCGGUCUGGCAAGUCUGAUGUGAAAGCCCGGGGCUCAACUCCGGGAUUGCAUUGGAAACUGUCAGACUAGAGUGUCGGAGAGGUAAGUGGAAUUCCUAGUGUAGCGGUGAAAUGCGUAGAUAUUAGGAGGAACACCAGUGGCGAAGGCGGCUUACUGGACGAUAACUGACGCUGAGGCUCGAAAGCGUGGGGAGCAAACAGGAUUAGAUACCCGUGUAGUCC
This 292-nucleotide ribosomal RNA is filed under the name uncultured prokaryote. RNAcentral's name for it is "partial 16S ribosomal RNA". It matches the Rfam family "Bacterial small subunit ribosomal RNA", at positions 505 to 796 of the family's 1533-position model. The record is from RNAcentral.